Molecule: long non-coding RNA, 229 nt
Filed under: Parus major (Great Tit)
Lineage: Eukaryota; Metazoa; Chordata; Aves; Passeriformes; Paridae
Description: lncRNA (ENSPMJG00000019759.1)
Source: RNAcentral
AUCAACCUCAGGAGGUUCAGAAGUUCACUCAUAACCUGCAGAAGAGCAGGACUGUGGGCCCAGGCACAUGUGGUGGCCCAUCAGCUCUGAGUCCUUUCUCUGCAUCCUUGGCCAGUGGGGCUUCAUAUUCAAAGGUCUCCAAGGAGCGACAAGGCAAGGAUGUGGCCCAGGAGUGGUGAUCUGCUGCUCUCAGGGAAGACUUAGCACCCUAUUGGUCAUCAGCCUCUGA